RNAcentral lists this long non-coding RNA (2696 nucleotides) under Brassica napus (rape). RNAcentral's name for it is "long non-coding RNA (BNAP_LNC005992)". Lineage: Eukaryota; Viridiplantae; Streptophyta; Magnoliopsida; Brassicales; Brassicaceae. The record is from RNAcentral.
CUUCUGUUCUUUCAGUUUUGUUUUGUGUCUAGCUUGUGAAUGUGUGACUCAUUAAAAGGAAACUGAUAUUAUAUUGCUUUGCUUCAGAAGAACCAAUCCGUUUUAGAAAAGCUAUUGGACAUCUUUUGGGAAGCUCGAACAUUUACAGUAUAUGAAUAAUAUUUGUUCUUUUUGUUUGUGUUCUUCCAUGUGUUCAAUCAUAUUUGCUUCAAAGAAUCGCAAAGUACUAAUAGAAUUUUUAUUUUUUAUUGCAGGCUGCAGCAUGGAUUCACAAACUGUACAAAGAAUGGCAAUUCUUGAGGCAGAAAACGAAUUGAUGGACUUGGAGUAUAAUGAAGAUGAAGACUCCCAAGAAGAGGGACAUGAUCUUAGUGUCAAUGAACCUGCUCAGUCAACACAUACUCAAUGUCCAAAGAGACACACACACACUCCACGAGCUUCGCGGUCUCCACGAUCUCCACUAGCUUCACGGUCUCCACGAUCUCCACUAGCUCCACGAGCUCCACGAUCUCCACUAGCUCCACGAUCUCCACGAGCUUCACGAUCUUCACGAGCUCCACGAGCUCCAAGAGCUAAACGGCCUAGACAGGUACGUAAAAAGACUUCUAAGUGUUGGCUACACUUUACAUCGGUUGGCGUAGAGUCUGAUGGUAAAGAAAGGGCUAAGUGUCACUACUGUGGUAUUAAGUUAGUUAUAGAUAGGACUCAUGGAACUUCAACAAUGAAUCGCCAUUCACGCUCUUGUCUAGAAAAACCUGAAACCGAAGUUGUUGAAUAUGAUCCCAAAGUUGAUAAGGAAAUGGUUUCUGAGAUUAUAAUUUAUCAUGACCUUCCUUUUCGCUAUGUAGAAUACGAAAAGGUUAGGGAGAGAGAUAAAUAUCUUAAUCCAGAAUGUGAGCCUAUAAGUAGACAAACCGCAAGUAGGGAGGUGUUUAAAAGAUAUCAAAUAGAAAAGCUGAAGUUGAAAGAAAUGUUUGCAAGUUACCAAGGUCGUGUGUCUUUCACUUCUGACUUGUGGACGAGUCGUAGCCAAGUGAGAGGUUAUAUCUGCCUCACUGCUCAUUAUAUUGAUGAGAAAUGGAAGCUACACAGUCACAUAUUGGCAUUUUGCGAUGUCAAACCCCCACAUACCGGUGAAGCAAUAGCCAAGAAGAUUUUUGAUAUCCUAAAGGAGUGGGGGUUAGAGCGAAGAGUGUUUUCCCUCACCUUAGAUAAUGCUUCUGCUAAUGAUAACAUGCAAAAGAUCCUUACUCAUCGUCUGCAGAGUGGGAAUGGCUUGUUGUGCGAUGGAAAGUUCCUCCAUGUAAGGUGUUGCGCCCACAUUUUGAAUCUGAUUGUCAAGAAAGGGUUAGAGUUAGGUUCUAGUCUUUUGGUGAACAUUAGGGAGAGCGUUAAGUAUGUGAAAGCUUCUUUAUCUCUGAUUUCCUUACAGAAUGUUCAUCAAGAAAAACUCCACAUGAACUCCUUACAGAAUCUCCUCUUGAAGAUGAUUUCGAUGAUGUAAGUAUCUGACAUAAAGUUCUUGUUUAUUUUGACUUCUUAAUAAUUCGCUAAUUGCUUCUUUAUCUCUGAUUUUGUUUGAAUAUAGGAUCUGCUUGAGCUUGAAAGGUGUAUCCAGUUUGGUUCAAACAACGAAAGGACAAAUCUGGACAUGUAUUUGGCUGAUACUAAGGUUGAUAUUUCGGCAUUCUCAGAUAUGGAGGUGUUAGACUACUGGAAAGAUAAGCAACACAGAUAUGGUGACUUAGCUUUGCUUGCCCGUGAUAUUCUUAGCAUCCCUAUUACUACUGUUGCGUCUGAAUCUGCGUUUAGUGUGGGAGGUCGGGUUUUGAGUCCUUUUAGAAACCGUCUCCUCCCUAAAACUGUCCAAGCAUUGAUAUGUACGCGAAACUGGCUACGCGGGUUUGUUGAGUUUGAAGGUAAACUCCUUGUCUUGAAUUAAGUGUUUUAAGAAUUAGUGUUGUUGGUUAACUCAUUGUUUGAAUGAUUUCUUUGAUUACUUGAUGCAGGAGACAUUGAGGAGUACUUUGAUUAUGAUGAUGAGGAUGCUAAUAAAAGAGCAAGUAGCUCAGGAAAUGUAGAUUCAAACAUGUGGUAACUUCCAUGAAUUUAGCUCUUUGUGUAACUUGUAAACUGCUUUAGCUUGUUUCUUGCUGUCUGUGAUUGUAUCUUGCUGUCUGGUAGACUAUAGGCUUGUAUCUUGUUGUCUAAGACUGUAGCUUGGGUUCUGUAACAAAAUAAUAUAACUUGUGUUCUUUGUGGGUUUUACGUUGUGGAUUUUUUGUACUUGUUUUGUUGAUCUGAGUUCUUUUGCAGACUGCAUACUCUUGUAGUUCACAUGCUUGUUUAUUAGUUUGUGACUGCUUUAGCUCAUGACAUUUGUUUCAUCUUUUUUUUUUGGAUGUUCUUUUCGUUUGUUGAAAUUGAUCUUUAGUUGUCUCAUGUUUGUUCUAGACUAGAACUUCUAGUGACUGCCAUCUCUCUUGUUUUUGCAGAGUGGAGUGGAAGUUGAAACGAGUGUUAGAGAUUUUGUGAGUGGAGCUUUGCUUUACACCACCAUCUCUCUUGUUUUUGAUUUUUACACUUUAUAAAGUUAAGCUGGAACUUUGAUUUUUACACUUCAUGAAUAAAAACAUGUAAACUUUGGUUUUUCUAAUUUCAUAGUUUGAAUUUGAGAACAAAAAUGAAUAAAAGAG